RNAcentral lists this long non-coding RNA (458 nucleotides) under Cavia porcellus (domestic guinea pig). RNAcentral describes it as "lncRNA (ENSCPOG00000038545.1)". The record is from RNAcentral. Lineage: Eukaryota; Metazoa; Chordata; Mammalia; Rodentia; Caviidae.
CGCCCGCGGGCUCCGAGCGGUGCCGCCGCCGCUAGAGCUGCGACUCACGGCACCUUUGUCUCCACCGGCCUCCGAGAAGUUUGUGGUCAGAAGCAGGAUGGGCUGGCUCAUCGGUGGCUCCAGCACAGGGAAGCGGCUAGCUGUGAUGAUGGCGCCGCUGUGGCCAGCGGCCACUGCGCCCCGAGGCCGUUCGCUCGGGCACUCGCCCCCACUUCCUCCCGCUGGGUCUCCCGGCUCCCACCGAGCUGCAGAGCAGCAAGCUCCUGCCUCAUGGGAGAGAGCAAGAGGACUCCACAAAGUUCAUCGUGCUCACGUUCCUGUCCCUGGCUUGCAUCGUGGGGGUCCUUCUGGCUUCCAGCCUGAUCUACUGCCUCCGCCACAGCUCCCACCACAAGCUAAAGAAGAAGCUGUCGGGCCUGGGGGGUGACACCAGUGCAGACGCCACUGCUGCCUACCAG